RNAcentral lists this ribosomal RNA (494 nucleotides) under uncultured bacterium. Its description in RNAcentral is "partial 16S ribosomal RNA". It matches the Rfam family "Bacterial small subunit ribosomal RNA", at positions 28 to 507 of the family's 1533-position model. The record is from RNAcentral.
GACGAACGCUGGCGGCGUGCUUAACACAUGCAAGUCGAACGGAAAGGCCUGCUUUCCCUUGUGGAUUGCGGGUACUCGAGUGGCGAACGGGUGAGUAACACGUGAGUGAUCUGCCCCCAACUUGGGUAUAAGCCUGGGAAACUGGGUCUAAUUCCCGAUAGGACUGCAGGGUGGUGCCUGUGGUGGAAAACGAUUUUCUAGUGGUUGGGGAUGAGCUCGCGGCCUAUCAGCUUGUUGGUGGGGUAAUGGCCUACCAAGGCGGCGACGGGUAGCCGGCCUGGGAGGGUGGACGGCCACAUUGGGACUGAGAUACGGCCCAGACUCCUACGGGAGGCAGCAGUGGGGAAUAUUGCACAAUGGGCGGAAGCCUGAUGCAGCGGCGCCGCGUGGGGGAUGACGGCCUUCGGGUUGUAAACUCCUUUCGACCGCGAGGAAGCCACCUGGUUGGAAGGGUGGUGACGGUAGUGGUAGAAGAAGCACCGGCUAACUACGUG